This 496-nucleotide ribosomal RNA is filed under the name uncultured bacterium. RNAcentral describes it as "partial 16S ribosomal RNA". It matches the Rfam family "Bacterial small subunit ribosomal RNA", at positions 29 to 507 of the family's 1533-position model. The record is from RNAcentral.
AUGCACGCUGGCGGCGUGCCUCAUCCCUGCAAGUCGCGCGAACGGACGAGAAGCUUGCUUCUCUGAUGUUAGCGGCGGACGGGUGAGUAACACGUGGAUAACCUACCUAUAAGACUGGGAUAACUUCGGGAAACCGGAGCUAAUACCGGAUAAUAUUUUGAACCGCAUGGUUCAAAAGUGAAAGACGGUCUUGCUGUCACUUAUAGAUGGAUCCGCGCUGCAUUAGCUAGUUGGUAAGGUAACGGCUUACCAAGGCAACGAUGCAUAGCCGGCCUGAGAGGGUGAUCGGCCACACUGGAACUGAGACACGGUCCAGACUCCUACGGGAGGCAGCAGUAGGGAAUCUUCCGCAAUGGGCGAAAGCCUGACGGAGCAACGCCGCGUGAGUGAUGAAGGUCUUCGGAUCGUAAAACUCUGUUAUUAGGGAAGAACAUAUGUGUAAGUAACUGUGCACAUCUUGACGGUACCUAAUCAGAAAGCCACGGCUAACUACGUG